Molecule: long non-coding RNA, 388 nt
Organism: Cyprinus carpio carpio
Lineage: Eukaryota; Metazoa; Chordata; Actinopteri; Cypriniformes; Cyprinidae
Source: Ensembl
CCCUAAUAUAGCGUGGUGGGAGAGCCGAAGGAAUACUUAUUGAAGUAGUCACAACGACGACAUCACUAGCUAGGCCGCAUAUUCCAUCGCCAGAUCCGAACCAAGCGAAGUGAAGGAAGACGGGUGUCCUUUUCGUACACUGAGUGUGGUGGAUAAACCCCCGCCUUCACGCACUUCGUCGCGGGAGGACAAGGAGACUGCUGGUCCUAGCCUAGUUCAGUACAGUAUAUGUUGUGAGCGUGCUUCAGAUCUCCGGAGAUAGCACGGUACGCUGUGUCCAGCCCAGAGGUGAAAGCCAUCCAAAGCAGAGUAACUGUGCUUUGCGUCCAAGUUGAUACCUGUGGAGAGGAAAGGAAAGAGAGAGUGAGUAACACAAGGAGAAACAGAG